Molecule: long non-coding RNA, 590 nt
Organism: Bos taurus (domestic cattle)
Lineage: Eukaryota; Metazoa; Chordata; Mammalia; Artiodactyla; Bovidae
Source: Ensembl
GACCAUGUGAAGAUGGGAGAAAAGAUUGAAGUUAUGAAGCCAACUGAGGAAUGCCAAGGCUUGCCAGCAGCCACCAAGAACUAGGAGAGAGCCCUGGAAGAGGAUUUGAAUGAAAACAGACCCUUUCCAGUCCUGUGGCCAUUGCUGAGUUUUCCCAAUUUGAUGGCAUGUUGAGUGCAGCACUUUCACAGCAUCAUCUUCCAGGAUUUGAAAUAGCUCAACUGGAAUUCCAUCACCUCCACUAGCUUUGUUCGUAGUGAUGCUUUCUAAGGCCUACUUGACUUCACAUUCCAGGAUGUCUGGCUCUAGAUGGUGAGCUCAGAAGCAGCAUUUAAGGAUGAAAAUGGUUGAAAUGCACCAACAGGUCCACAAAAGGAUCUCUGAGACUUUGUUCAUUUAUCUGAGUUCCCCGAACUCUUUAGCUCCUCUCCACCAUCCCUCAAUCUCUCCAUUUCCCUACAACUUCCCAGUGGGGAGGACGACAGAAAAAGAAGCAAAGGAAUGAGAUGAUGUUGAUGGUUUACAAGGCUACAAUCAACAUUUUUGGAUUUUUGGAUUUUAAUGGCAUGUUUAUAUUGCUGAAAUUAAAU